CUGUUUUGUGCACAUCGGGGGACCUGCGAAGGUUUUAUCGGUGGGUAGUCGUAAUCGGAAAGGCAAAGAUGAUAAACGCUAAUUAUUAUUGAUAUGCGUUUGUAAUUUUGAAUAAUCAGACAUAGUACGAUAAGGUUGUAUGUCUAAAGGGAAACAGCCCAAAACAAGAGUUUAAGGUUCCAAAAUUAUUAUUAAGUGAAAUUAAGGAAGUUAUUAUUAUAUACGACCAGGAAAUAGGCUUAGAGGCGGCCAUUUUUUGAAGAUCUCGUAACAGAGCACUGGUUUAUUUGUUAGUAUGAAUAAAAAAGAAUUCGAUCAGUACAAUAAUAAAAAAAUAAUUUAUAUUAAAUACAUUUAAUGGCGCCGAAAAUUUAACGGAUCUAAAUAAUAUACCGAAACCUUGUCCAUAGAUACAAGCUAGGUUCAUUAUAUAUCAGUAUUAUAUAUACUUUAAAUAGACAUUAUAAACGAAAGCUAGGGCAUAUAGAAAAAAUAGACAGGAUAUAACUAGAGACAAUAGCCAAUUAAAUGAUUGCCCAUGACCAAUGAAUUAUUAAAAAUAGAUCAUGAAAAAGUAUAUAUACCUAGCUCUAUAGUAUAUUUAUGGGGUAGCGGAACGUUGGGGAUAUAUCAGAGUUUUUCUUUUUAAGAAAAGCAAAUAAGUAGCUAUGAUGUUUGCUAUUAUUUUAGCAGAAAAUGGUAUAAUAGCAGUAAAUAUUAUAACAGCGAAGAUGUCGCUGUAAUGUUUGCUAUUAUUUUAGCAGUAAAUGUUAUAGUAGCAGUAAAUAUUAUAACAACAAAUAUAAUAACCCAAGUGAUAAUGCUGACAUGAGUAACAAAAAAGGAUUAUUUCCUCGCCUAAAGCUUAUGUAUUUAGUUAAAAGUAACGGUCUCUAAGUUUAAAGCCUAAAGGAUUAAACGAUGAAAAAAUCUAUUGUAUAUAAAACACUUUUGACAGCUACAGCUUGUAACUUUUUUAAAAAAGAGUAAAAAAACUGAUUAGAUGCUGCAAAAUUUAAUAUAAGUUUAGGCUUACAUGAGUGUAGUUAAAAGUGGGAAAAGUACUGGAAAAAUUAUAAUGCAGAUAAUAAAUACCGUAAC
RNAcentral lists this ribosomal RNA (1101 nucleotides) under Roccella tuberculata. RNAcentral's name for it is "partial large subunit ribosomal RNA". The record is from RNAcentral. Lineage: Eukaryota; Fungi; Ascomycota; Arthoniomycetes; Arthoniales; Roccellaceae.